RNAcentral lists this ribosomal RNA (253 nucleotides) under uncultured bacterium. RNAcentral's name for it is "partial 16S ribosomal RNA". It matches the Rfam family "Bacterial small subunit ribosomal RNA", at positions 524 to 776 of the family's 1533-position model. The record is from RNAcentral.
GACAGAGGGGGCAAGCGUUGCUCGGAAUCACUGGGCGUAAGGGGCGCGUAGGCGGGAUGGCAAGUCAGUCGUGAAAUCUCUCGGCUCAACCGAGAAACGUCGGCUGAUACUGCCGUUCUUGAGGGAUGCAGAGGAGACUGGAAUUCCCGGUGUAGCGGUGAAAUGUGUAGAGAUCGGGAGGAACACCGGUGGCGAAGGCGGGUCUCUGGGCCGAUACUGACGCUGAGGAGCGAAAGCGUGGGGAGCGAACAGG